CCUACGGGAGGCAGCAGUGAGGAAUAUUGGUCAAUGGGCGGAAGCCUGAACCAGCCAAGUCGCGUGAGGGAGUAAGGCCCUACGGGUCGUAAACCUCUUUUGCCGGGGAGCAGUGCCCAGCACGUGAGCUGGGAGGGAGCGUACCCGGAGAACAAGCAUCGGCUAACUCCGUGCCAGCAGCCGCGGUAAUACGGGGGAUGCGAGCGUGAGCCGGCUUUAUUGGGUUUAAAGGGUGGGUUGGCGGGCCUUCAGGCGGGCGGUAAAAUUGCGGGGCUCACCCCCGCCGAGCCGUCGGAGCCGGGGGCCUUGAGUACCGGAGAAGUACGCGGAAUGCGUGGUGUAGCGGUGAAAUGCAUAGAUAUCACGCAGAACCCCGAUUGCGAAGGCAGCGUACCGGCCGGUCACUGACGCUGAGGCACGAAAGCGCGGGUAUCGAACAGGAUUAGAUACCCCUGUAGUC
This 460-nucleotide ribosomal RNA is filed under the name uncultured bacterium. Its description in RNAcentral is "partial 16S ribosomal RNA". It matches the Rfam family "Bacterial small subunit ribosomal RNA", at positions 338 to 795 of the family's 1533-position model. The record is from RNAcentral.